UUGGUCUUCUAAGUAGUAGUGCCGCAGGUGAUUGAAUUUGAUGAGAAAUAAAAACGGUAAUUUACCUGCGCACGACUACUUCAUAGACCGA
This 91-nucleotide microRNA precursor is filed under the name Euroglyphus maynei. RNAcentral's name for it is "mir-252 microRNA precursor family". It matches the Rfam family "mir-252 microRNA precursor family". Lineage: Eukaryota; Metazoa; Arthropoda; Arachnida; Sarcoptiformes; Pyroglyphidae. The record is from Rfam by way of RNAcentral.